This is a non-coding RNA of Nicotiana tabacum (common tobacco), 1576 nucleotides long. The record is from RefSeq and is a predicted model, not a curated record. NCBI's taxonomy places the organism in Eukaryota, Viridiplantae, Streptophyta, Magnoliopsida, Solanales, Solanaceae.
AGCGGGCAAAAUUCCCUCUCUUUUUUUCCCUCAUUUUUUCAUAGGGCACGAUAUGUUUCAGAAGGGCUCAAUUCCCCCUCCCCAACUCACGAAAUCUUUCAAGAGGCUCAAUUCCCCUUCUUCAUCAUCUUCUCUACAUAUUGUAAUGACAAGGUGAUGCACAUCCAUCGAAGAUUAAAUGCUCUAGUACCAAUGCAAAGGUUUUGAGAUUGAUGGGUUGGUAUGAUAGCACUGAUGGGUGAGUUUUCUUAACUUAUUUAUUGGCAAGACACUCUUUUCAGAGAAAACUUAUCUUUUAUAUAACAUGCUUCUUGAAUUACAUGAAGCUACAAUAAUUGAAGACCAUUUGCUCCAUUGAAUAUCAGUUGCAUUAAGUACUAUAGAGUAAUUUAUUUCAUAUUCUCUUACAACUGUUAUUGAUAUAGAUACUGGUAGGAUUCAUAUCUUAGAAGAUUUGAUUAAGUUCCUCAAGAUAUAUGAGAUGUUGAAGUAAGCUAGUUGUAUAUAUAUUUCAUUUGUUAUGAUACAUAUAUUUGAAUUUGUGAUAUUUGUUACUCUAGUUUAAGAAAUACUUCUAUCAUACUCCUUCCCAUUUCCCUUUUCAUAAUGCAUGAUCUGCUCGGGUGCAAAGAUGCAUGGUGAAGGAAUAUAUUUCGCUGGUGAAUAUGUGUGCAAAAGUUUCAAGAUUAUUUACUGAUAUAAUAGUAUUGAUGGGUAAGUUAUGCUUCGUAACUUGUCUCUUGACCAAGUGUUCGUUUCGUAGAAAGUUUACUUUUUAUAUAAUAAACUUCUUGCAUUAUAGGAAGCUAUAAUUAUUGGAAGAACAUUUGCAGCAUUGAACACCCGUUGAAGUUACAAAGAAAUGGUAGCCUUGUGAACAAUUAACACAAUUGGCUCAUUGACAUCUUGCUAUAUAUGUGGCUACAGAUAGAUGGAAACUUUAUAUACAAGUCUAAACUCACAAUUUAUAUAAAUCGGUGGUGGUUUUCUUAAUUGCAUAUAGAUUUUUCUUAUUCCUAAGACUACUGCUUACUGAAAAAUACAAUAAUUUUCAGAAACAACAGAGGUCCCUGGCUAGUUGAUCAUGUUAUCAAUUUUUCCACUUAUGGUGAUAGGUGAUCAUGCUAUCGAUUUUUCCAACUCAAAUAAUAUGAAGGGCAUAUAGUAAUUAUUUAAUUAGCUUAACAAUAUUUUUUUCCUAAAAUUUUAAUGGAUACUGAGAUGGUUAACAGAUGAAGAAGAACAACUUAAAGAAACUAAUCAAACAAAAGUUCUGGAAUUCAAUUGUUGAGAUGUCAAUUAUUACUAAUACAGAUUCUACUGGAAUUCAUGCCUUAGAAGAUUUGAUUAAGUCCCUCAAGAAACGAGAUGUUCAAGUAAGCUGCAUAGUGAUGUGAAGAGCGAGUCUGCUUCACCCGUGGGUAUAAGAGUAUCAUCAAGUGACGGCAACACAAAUCACCAAGCAAGUACUUUGGAUUUUUGUAUAUUUAUUCAUUGAGGAACUACCGAACUACUCUAGAUUGUCUAACAUUAAAGUUAUUAUAUACUUUAUGUGUUUGUAUAACUUUAGUUUUAU